This 147-nucleotide unclassified non-coding RNA is filed under the name soil metagenome. Its description in RNAcentral is "partial internal transcribed spacer 1". The record is from RNAcentral.
UAAUAAGUGUUUUAUGGCACUUUUUAAAUCCAUAUCCACCUUGUGUGCAAUGUCAGUCGAUCUUCUUUCAUGGAGAUCGACCAAACAUCAACCUUUAUUUUUUAACUCUUUGUCUGAAAAAAUAUUAUGAAUAAACAAUUCAAAAUA